AGCAUUCUGAAUCCGUGUCGAAAAUUCGUCAGAUGCCAUACCAUCAGUACUGAUGAAACUCCCAAGAUAAGUGAAGGA
Non-coding RNA from Schistosoma curassoni, 78 nucleotides. NCBI's taxonomy places the organism in Eukaryota, Metazoa, Platyhelminthes, Trematoda, Strigeidida, Schistosomatidae. The record is from Rfam.